Molecule: ribosomal RNA, 468 nt
Filed under: uncultured bacterium
Lineage: Bacteria
Description: partial 16S ribosomal RNA
Rfam family: Bacterial small subunit ribosomal RNA
Source: RNAcentral
GACGAACGCUGGCGGCGUGCUUAACACAUGCAAGUCGAACGGAAAGGCCCUGCUUUUGUGGGGUGCUCGAGUGGCGAACGGGUGAGUAACACGUGAGUAACCUGCCCUUGACUUUGGGAUAACUUCAGGAAACUGGGGCUAAUACCGGAUAGGAGCUCCUGCUGCUUGGUGGGGGUUGGAAAGUUUCGGCGGUUGGGGAUGGACUCGCGGCUUAUCAGCUUGUUGGUGUGGUAGUGGCUUACCAAGGCUUUGACGGGUAGCCGGCCUGAGAGGGUGACCGGCCACAUUGGGACUGAGAUACGGCCCAGACUCCUACGGGAGGCAGCAGUGGGGAAUAUUGCACAAUGGGCGGAAGCCUGAUGCAGCAACGCCGCGUGCGGGAUGACGGCCUUCGGGUUGUAAACCGCUUUCGCCUGUGACGAAGCGUGAGUGACGGUAAUGGGUAAAGAAGCACCGGCUAACUACGUG